CCUACGGGAGGCAGCAGUAGGGAAUAUUGCACAAUGGGCGAAAGCCUGAUGCAGCAACGCCGCGUGCGCGAUGAAGGCCUUCGGGUCGUAAAGCUCUGUUGUUAGGGAAGAACAAGUGCCGGAGUAACUGCCGGUACCUUGACGGUACCUAACCAGAAAGCCACGGCUAACUACGUGCCAGCAGCCGCGGUAAAACGUAGGAGCCUAGCGUUAUCCGAAUUUACUGGGCGUAAAGCGCGUGCAGGCGGUUCGGUAAGUUGGGUGUGAAAUCUCCUGGCUCAACUAGGAGAGGUCGCUCAAUACUGUCGAACUAGAGGAUGGUAGAGGGAGGUGGAAUUCCCGGUGUAGUGGUGAAAUGCGUAGAUAUCGGGAGGAAUACCAGUGGCGAAGGCGGCCUCCUGGGCCAUACCUGACGCUCAGACGCGAAAGCUAGGGGAGCAAACGGGAUUAGAAACCCCGGUAGUCCUAGCAGUAAACGAUGUGGACUUGGCGUUGGUGGGGUAAAAUCCAUCAGUGCCGGAGCUAACGCGGUAAGUCCACCGCCUGGGGACUACGGCCGCAAGGUUAAAACUUAAAGGAAUUGACGG
Molecule: ribosomal RNA, 587 nt
Filed under: uncultured bacterium
Lineage: Bacteria
Description: bacterial SSU rRNA
Rfam family: Bacterial small subunit ribosomal RNA
Source: RNAcentral